Molecule: ribosomal RNA, 468 nt
Filed under: uncultured bacterium
Lineage: Bacteria
Description: partial 16S ribosomal RNA
Rfam family: Bacterial small subunit ribosomal RNA
Source: RNAcentral
GACGAACGCUGGCGGCGUGCUUAACACAUGCAAGUCGAACGGAAAGGCCCUGCUUUUGUGGGGUGCUCGCGUGGCGAACGGGUGAGUAACACGUGAGUAACCUGCCCUUGACUUUGGGAUAACUUCAGGAAACUGGGGCUAAUACCGGAUAGGAGCUCCUGCUGCAUGGUGGGGGUUGGAAAGUUUCGGCGGUUGGGGAUGGACUUGGGGCUUAUCAGCUUGUUGGUGGGGUAGUGGCUUACCAAGGGUUUGAUGGGUAGCCGGCCUGAGAGGGUGACCGGCCACAUUGGGACUGAGAUACGGCCCAGACUCCUACGGGAGGCAGCAGUGGGGAAUAUUGCACAAUGGGCGGAAGCCUGAUGCAGCAACGCCGCGUGCGGGAUGACGGCCUUCGUGUCGUAAACCGCUUUCGCCUGUGACGAAGCGUGAGUGACGGUAAUGGGUAAAGAAGCACCGGCUAACUACGUG